Molecule: ribosomal RNA, 349 nt
Filed under: uncultured bacterium
Lineage: Bacteria
Description: bacterial SSU rRNA
Rfam family: Bacterial small subunit ribosomal RNA
Source: RNAcentral
UGGCUGCCUAACAUACUCGUGCCGUAGAGGUGGUGGUAUAAUGUCCUGCUGCGAGAGCUUGCCCUACCCUCAGUUGUCAGCACGUAAUAGGUGGGCACUCUGAUAGGGACUGCCCGCUCGAAGCUGACAGGAGAAGAGGGGAUGAUCUCAUGAUCUUGAUGGGCCUUACCUGCACGGUUACCCACCUGCUACCCUGGCGCGCACAGUGUGUCACGACCCCGUGACGGGCACCCAAUCACGAAAAGUUGGUCAUCAGUUCGGACCUCAGGUUGCUCCUUCACUGAGUCAAUGUGGACUCGCUAUCAGUUGCGCAUCAGCGAUGCAGCGUCGAUUACGGUCCCGGAACUUG